Molecule: transfer RNA, 72 nt
Filed under: Capra hircus (goat)
Lineage: Eukaryota; Metazoa; Chordata; Mammalia; Artiodactyla; Bovidae
Also listed under: 2 other names
Rfam family: tRNA
About the family: Transfer RNA (tRNA) molecules are approximately 80 nucleotides in length. Their secondary structure includes four short double-helical elements and three loops (D, anti-codon, and T loops).
Source: Rfam by way of RNAcentral
UCCCUGGUGGCUCAGAUGGUAAAGCAUCUGCCUGCAAUGCAGGAGACCCAGGUUCGAUACCUGGGUUGGGAA